UUCCGGUUGAUCCUGCCGGACCCGACUGCUAUCAGAGUGAGAUUAAGCCAUGCGAGUUAACGUAGCAAUACGUGGCGCACGGCUCAGUAACGCGUAGUCAACAUGCCCAGAGGACGUGGAUAACCUCGGGAAACUGAGUCUAAACCGCGAUAAGUGAGGAUUUCUGGAAUGGUUCCUGACUAAAAUCUAUAUGGCCUCUGGAUUGGACUGCGGCCGAUCAGGCUGUUGGUGAGGUAAUGGCCCACCAAACCUGUAACCGGUACGGGCUCUGAGAGGAGGAGCCCGGAGAUGGGCACUGAGACAAGGGCCCAGGCCCUAUGGGGCGCAGCAAGCGCGAAACCUCUGCAAUAGGCGAAAGCCUGACAGGGUUACUCUGAGUGACUUUCGCUAAGAAAGUCUUUUGGCACCUCUAAAAAGGGUGCAGAAUAAGGGGUGGGCAAGUCUGGUGUCAGCCGCCGCGGUAAUACCAGCACCCCGAGUGGUCGGGACGAUUAUUGGGCCUAAAGCAUCCGUAGCCGGUUCUGCAAGUCCCCCGUUAAAUCCAGCUGCUCAACAGAUGGGCCGCGGAGGAUACUACAGAGCUAGGAGGCAGGAGAGGCAAGCGGUACUUAGUGGGUAGGGGUAAAAUCCGUUGAUCCAUUGAAGACCACCAGUGGCGAAGGCGGCUUGCCAGAAUGCGCUCGACGGUGAGGGAUGAAAGCUGGGGGAGCAAACCGGAUUAGAUACCCGGGUAGUCCCAG
Molecule: ribosomal RNA, 740 nt
Filed under: uncultured archaeon
Lineage: Archaea
Description: bacterial SSU rRNA
Rfam family: Archaeal small subunit ribosomal RNA
Source: RNAcentral